UACAGAGGUGGCGAGCGUUGUUCGGAUUUAUUGGGCGUAAAGGGUCUGUAGGCGGUCAGAAAAGUCGGAUGUGAAAUCCCACAGCUUAACUGUGGAACUGCAUUCGAAACUCUCUGACUAGAGUGUGAGAGGGGUAAAGGGAAUUCCCGGUGUAAGGGUGAAAUCUGCAGAGAUCGGGAGGAACACCAGUCGCGAAGGCGCUUUACUGGCUCACUACUGACGCUGAGGGACGAAAGCUAGGGGAG
Molecule: ribosomal RNA, 245 nt
Filed under: uncultured bacterium
Lineage: Bacteria
Description: partial 16S ribosomal RNA
Rfam family: Bacterial small subunit ribosomal RNA
Source: RNAcentral